UUCUGAAAGGGAUACUUCUUCGGACAUAUACAAGGUGCUGCAUGGUUGUCGUCAGCUCGUGCCGUGAGGUGUCGGGUUAAGCCCAUAACGAGCGCAACCCCUAUCAUUAGUUGCCAUCAGGUCAAGCUGGGGACUCUAAUGAAACUGCCUACGCAAGUAGUGAGGAAGGUGGGGAUGACGUCAAAUCAGCACGGCCCUUACGUCCAGGGCUACACACGUGCUACAAUGGCCGGCACAACGGGAAGCGAGUUCGCGAGGACGAGCGGAUCCCUUAAAGCCGGUCGCAGUUCGGAUUGAAGUCUGCAACUCGACUUCAUGAAGCUGGAAUCGCUAGUAAUCGUGGAUCAGCCAAGCCGCGGUGAAUACGUUCCCGGGCCUU
This 379-nucleotide ribosomal RNA is filed under the name uncultured Bacteroidota bacterium. RNAcentral's name for it is "bacterial SSU rRNA". It matches the Rfam family "Bacterial small subunit ribosomal RNA", at positions 999 to 1382 of the family's 1533-position model. Lineage: Bacteria; Pseudomonadati; Bacteroidota. The record is from RNAcentral.